AUUCAUAAGAAAUAUGAGUAUUUAUGCUAAUAGCAUAAAUUUUGAGAGAAAAAAAACUUAAUUUAAUAGCCGAAUUUUUUAUCCCGAAUUUUUAAUUGAUGAACGUAUAAUAUCGGUAUAAAUCACGUAUCCAAAUAAUUGGUAAAUCCAUUUUUUAGCCGUAUUUUUCAACGAAUUUAAAAAUUAGAAGAAAGAAUUUUAUCUGAAUUAUACCCGUACCGAAUUUUUGCCGAAUCCGAAUUAACUAAUUAUGCGAAAUCGUAAAGCACC
This 270-nucleotide long non-coding RNA is filed under the name Ananas comosus (pineapple). Its description in RNAcentral is "long non-coding RNA (ACOM_LNC001155)". Lineage: Eukaryota; Viridiplantae; Streptophyta; Magnoliopsida; Poales; Bromeliaceae. The record is from RNAcentral.